UUGCUCCUUUGGUUCUUAUUAAUUUGCAGGAAGAGGAACUCAUCGACCGGUUCUUCGUCUUGUCUCUCUAGGGUUUCGCAUGAUCUCCUCCCCUCCCCGUCCGAGAUUUCGCUGCGAUCCGUCUCUCGGGUUUCGGUGGAUCUCCGUCUCUCCCGCUUCUAUGUCGAAGAUUUCGCUGCGACCUAGUGUGAGUUGAUCCGACAUUGGAGGAGGAUUGGGUGGGGGGGAAUCGGUUCGUGAAGUUGAAGUGCAGAUCGAGGGCGACUCCUCUCCCGGAGGUAUUCUUCCUUUCCUGGAAGCUUUCUCUGAUUGGUUUCCUUUCUUCUUCUUGCCUUAUUAUUGCAAUGCGAUCUGGUGCGACGUCAUGGGACAUUGGACGAGGAUUAGGAGGGGAAUCGCGUAGUAAAGUUGACAGGCAGAUCGAGGGCUCCUUAUCUCCUGGAUGUAAAGUUUUUUCUUCUUGUUUUCCUUUCUUCUUCUUCCUGCCUCUUUUCUCGCAAUGUGCUGUGUUACGCUCAUGGAAACCCAUUCCACAAGCGUGUAUUCGAUUUCUUCUUUUUUUCCCCCUUUAAUUCUUUCUUUUAAUUAUGUAUCUCCCUCCCUCCUCCAUGUCUAAGAUUUCGAUGUUAUAUGACGUAAGUUAAUCGGACGUUGGACGAGGAUCAAGAGGCGAAUGGCUUAGAAGAGUCGGCAUGACGAUCUAACGCCCCUCCCUUCCUGGGGCUAUUCUUUCUUCUUGAUUUCUUUUCUUCUUCUUGCCUCUUUCUCGCAAUCCGCUGUGUGAUUCUCAUCGAAGCCCAUCGCACAAGUCUUAUUCCGUGUGAACCAGCAGGGUUAGUCCCGUUGAUCUCUUUGCCUGCGCGAGAGAGGUAUUCUUUCUUGAUUCGUUUUAUUUUGGGGUAAAAGAAUCUUCUAAAUUAGGGCUCGCAGGGUUUAGUUCUGUUCGAUUAAAAGAACAAAAGAUUCUGUAUAAGGAUUUCUUAUGUUGCUGCCUACAAGAUUUCUCUUGUCAGAGUUAUCCUUUCUGUUCCAUGUUCAUCUUUCUCUUGUCAGACUUGACAUUGAGCUAUUACAUGAUUGGAUAUGGAAUGCAUGUUUCCUUCAUUUCUCUUAUCAAUAUGCCUACAGAAAAUAUAGAUUUACCUGUCAUUGACGUCACUGUGUGGUGAGUAGUUCUUAAAGUCUUUGUAUGAGAUUCUGUUACCGAGUUGAGACAAUAGGUUUGCAGAUUCAGUGAAGUGGUGUCAUGAAAAACUGUAUUAGAGGGAGUUUUUUUUCCGGUCUUGAAAGCGUUACAUAAUUGUAGAACAUUAAAGCAUCUACAGAUUUUAUGCUGGGGAUCUAAGAUCACUUUUGUUUGACCAAAA
Molecule: long non-coding RNA, 1367 nt
Organism: Musa acuminata AAA Group (dessert banana)
Lineage: Eukaryota; Viridiplantae; Streptophyta; Magnoliopsida; Zingiberales; Musaceae
Exons: 2
Source: RefSeq, a predicted model, not a curated record